RNAcentral lists this non-coding RNA (18 nucleotides) under Arabidopsis thaliana (thale cress). The record is from RNAcentral. Lineage: Eukaryota; Viridiplantae; Streptophyta; Magnoliopsida; Brassicales; Brassicaceae.
GCGGUUGACGGCAACGUU